Molecule: ribosomal RNA, 464 nt
Filed under: Vreelandella stevensii
Lineage: Bacteria; Pseudomonadati; Pseudomonadota; Gammaproteobacteria; Oceanospirillales; Halomonadaceae
Description: partial 16S ribosomal RNA
Rfam family: Bacterial small subunit ribosomal RNA
Source: RNAcentral
CCUACGGGGGGCUGCAGUGGGGAAUAUUGGACAAUGGGCGAAAGCCUGAUCCAGCCAUGCCGCGUGUGUGAAGAAGGCCUUCGGGUUGUAAAGCACUUUCAGUGGGGAAGAAAGCCUUGGGGCUAAUACCCUCGAGGAAGGACAUCACCCACAGAAGAAGCACCGGCUAACUCCGUGCCAGCAGCCGCGGUAAUACGGAGGGUGCGAGCGUUAAUCGGAAUUACUGGGCGUAAAGCGCGCGUAGGCGGUCUGAUAAGCCGGUUGUGAAAGCCCCGGGCUCAACCUGGGAACGGCAUCCGGAACUGUCAGGCUAGAGUGCAGGAGAGGAAGGUAGAAUUCCCGGUGUAGCGGUGAAAUGCGUAGAGAUAGGGAGGAAUACCAGUGGCGAAGGCGGCCUUCUGGACUGACACUGACGCUGAGGUGCGAAAGCGUGGGUAGCAAACAGGAUUAGAUACCCCUGUGUC